This 1207-nucleotide ribosomal RNA is filed under the name Escherichia coli. RNAcentral describes it as "partial 23S ribosomal RNA". It matches the Rfam family "Bacterial large subunit ribosomal RNA", at positions 1 to 1239 of the family's 2925-position model. The record is from RNAcentral. Lineage: Bacteria; Pseudomonadati; Pseudomonadota; Gammaproteobacteria; Enterobacterales; Enterobacteriaceae.
GGGUUGUGAGGUUAAGCGACUAAGCGUACACGGUGGAUGCCCUGGCAGUCAGAGGCGAUGAAGGACGUGCUAAUCUGCGAUAAGCGUCGGUAAGGUGAUAUGAACCGUUAUAACCGGCGAUUUCCGAAUGGGGAAACCCAGUGUGAUUCGUCACACUAUCAUUAACUGAAUCCAUAGGUUAAUGAGGCGAACCGGGGGAACUGAAACAUCUAAGUACCCCGAGGAAAAGAAAUCAACCGAGAUUCCCCCAGUAGCGGCGAGCGAACGGGGAGGAGCCCAGAGCCUGAAUCAGUGUGUGUGUUAGUGGAAGCGUCUGGAAAGGCGCGCGAUACAGGGUGACAGCCCCGUACACAAAAAUGCACAUGCUGUGAGCUCGAUGAGUAGGGCGGGACACGUGGUAUCCUGUCUGAAUAUGGGGGGACCAUCCUCCAAGGCUAAAUACUCCUGACUGACCGAUAGUGAACCAGUACCGUGAGGGAAAGGCGAAAAGAACCCCGGCGAGGGGAGUGAAAAAGAACCUGAAACCGUGUACGUACAAGCAGUGGGAGCAUGCUUAGGCGUGUGACUGCGUACCUUUUGUAUAAUGGGUCAGCGACUUAUAUUCUGUAGCAAGGUUAACCGAAUAGGGGAGCCGAAGGGAAACCGAGUCUUAACUGGGCGUUAAGUUGCAGGGUAUAGACCCGAAACCCGGUGAUCUAGCCAUGGGCAGGUUGAAGGUUGGGUAACACUAACUGGAGGACCGAACCGACUAAUGUUGAAAAAUUAGCGGAUGACUUGUGGCUGGGGGUGAAAGGCCAAUCAAACCGGGAGAUAGCUGGUUCUCCCCGAAAGCUAUUUAGGUAGCGCCUCGUGAACUCAUCUCCGGGGGUAGAGCACUGUUUCGGCAAGGGGGUCAUCCCGACUUACCAACCCGAUGCAAACUGCGAAUACCGGAGAAUGUUAUCACGGGAGACACACGGCGGGUGCUAACGUCCGUCGUGAAGAGGGAAACAACCCAGACCGCCAGCUAAGGUCCCAAAGUCAUGGUUAAGUGGGAAACGAUGUGGGAAGGCCCAGACAGCCAGGAUGUUGGCUUAGAAGCAGCCAUCAUUUAAAGAAAGCGUAAUAGCUCACUGGUCGAGUCGGCCUGCGCGGAAGAUGUAACGGGGCUAAACCAUGCACCGAAGCUGCGGCAGCGACGCUUAUGCGUUGUUGGGUAGGGGAGCGU